Non-coding RNA from Danio aesculapii, 474 nucleotides. The record is from the annotation of a RefSeq genome assembly. Lineage: Eukaryota; Metazoa; Chordata; Actinopteri; Cypriniformes; Danionidae.
AUGAGCAGAAGUGAAAUUGAACACUUCAUCACUCGGAGCUUUUCUUCAUUCAGACUGAAAAUAAACCAGAAGAAGAAGAAGAUGAAGAUCAUCAGCGUCUGUUUCUGGACACUCGCUCUUUCUGUUCAAGAAAUGACAGCACAGAUUUCAGUGACUCAAACUCCAUCAGCAGCAGCUCCAGCAGGAGAAACUGUGACUAUAAACUGUCAGACUAGCAGAGGAAUUAGAGAUCGAUCACAAGGAUGUAGUGACUGUCUCUCCUGGUAUCUGCAUAAACCUGGAGAAGCUCCUAAACUCCUCAUUUAUUAUAUUAACCGUCUCCAGUCAGGAACUCCAGCCAGAUUCAGUGGCAGUGGAGAAAAUUAUGGCACAGAUUUCACUCUGAGCAUCAGUGGAGUCCAGACUGAAGAUGCUGGACAUUAUUACUGUAUGGGUGUACACUGGAUGAACAGUAACUGGGUGUUCACACAGUGA